GACACACUCCCCACAAGCUGCUCUGCUGUUACUAAUGCACACCCUUCAUUCUUCAUCAGGGAUUCUCUCCUUGCUCAGAUCUUCCAGCAGCUGUCAGCAGAGCAUGUCAGAACGAGGAGCGAGUGAUACCUUGUGCCAAGCCAAAGUGUGAGGGGAGACCUCAACGGCUUCAUCUAGUAAUUUUCCAUUCUUACCUCCACCUCCAGAAAAGUCCAGAAACUUCAGAGUAUUCUUACAGGAUGCUCAGUGAAACCUCAACCACCCUCUGAAGGGAUUCCUCAGAUCUGACUGAAAGUAGGAUUCAGUUACAAGAGGAGAAACUCACGUUAAUAAAGUCCCCUUUCCCUCCAUCUUCAUGUGGCCAAUUCUUACCCAUCCUUCAAGGACCAUUUCAAAUGUCACCUCAUCAAAAUAGCCUUCUUUGGAUACACUGCAUCUCUUGCUGCCUUGAAAUGCUAUGGAAAGUCACCUCUAGUUCUUGUUAAUGACUGUCACUUUAUUUCUGCAUUCUAAUACUGCUAUUUUUAUCUACAUAGAGCUCCUACAGUGGGUGGUGAACUCCUGAUAGAGGACACAGAGGGUCGUUGGGGCCACAUGGAUGGGUUUUAAGUGGUUGGAAUGUUUCAGCUGGGAAGAAACACGGAGUAAGAUAAGUAAGAAACAAGGGGUAACUAUGAUAAUAUAGUGGUAACAGAAAUAUAAUAAUAAUGUUUAAAAAUAUUAUAGAAUGCAU
Molossus molossus (Pallas's mastiff bat) is the source of this 733-nucleotide long non-coding RNA. RefSeq lists it as uncharacterized. The transcript has 6 exons. The record is from RefSeq and is a predicted model, not a curated record. NCBI's taxonomy places the organism in Eukaryota, Metazoa, Chordata, Mammalia, Chiroptera, Molossidae.